CUGGAGCAGCCAGGCCAGGGCGGCAGCACCAGCGCCUUCGAGCAGCUGCAGAGGUCCCGACGGCGCCUCAUCUCCCAGAGAUCUUCCUUGGAGACCCUGGAAGAUAUUGAGGAGAACGCCCCUCUCCGGAGGUAAUUUUCUGUUUCAUUUAUGUAUAUGUAAACAGUACACCAUGACAGCCAGAGAUUGAUUUUGGUUUUUUAACUUCUUGAUCUAUAGAAUUAAAUUUAAAAAUAACCAUCUGAACUCCAGGGACUAUGGGACAUCUCCUAGUGUCUAACCCAUCUCUGAGGACCACUAGAACUAGACAACGUUAAAUCCAAUUAGGUGUUGGAGUAGCCCAGUUUGCGUGGAGAUUUGGGUGCUUUUCUUUCCGUGGCGCCUCUUCAUUUUGUAAACUGCUGCUUAAUGGAACAAGACCCAGCAUUGUCCCGGCCCAUCCCCCAGGUGCAGUCACACAGUAGGUACAGUCCUGGACUUCAUUCUCAGCGGGAGGGGCAACAAGAACUCCUCAGGAGGUAACCACGAUGUCGCUCCCUGGCUAGGUGCUGGGAAGCCCAAUUAGGAUAGUUGUGAGU
RNAcentral lists this small RNA (578 nucleotides) under Pan troglodytes (chimpanzee). RNAcentral describes it as "retained intron". Lineage: Eukaryota; Metazoa; Chordata; Mammalia; Primates; Hominidae. The record is from RNAcentral.